Molecule: transfer RNA, 313 nt
Filed under: Glaciimonas immobilis
Lineage: Bacteria; Pseudomonadati; Pseudomonadota; Betaproteobacteria; Burkholderiales; Oxalobacteraceae
Description: tRNA-Leu
Source: RNAcentral
GCCCGAGUGGUGAAAUUGGUAGACACAAGGGACUUAAACUAAUUUGAGCCCUCUUGAAGAAAUUCUUGAGGUGAAACUCGUCAAACUCGGCGAAGGCCCUGGACGAAAGUCCGAGCUAAUACCGAGCCAAGCCCUCCGACGAAAGUUUGGGGGAAGGUGUAGAGAGCAGACGGCGAGCACCUAAAGUCGCAAGACCAUGGUGAAGGCGUGCUCCAGACCACGAACAGCGCAUGCGCUGGCGGCUAAAGCCGAAGUGGUAAGAAAAUCCCUCGACUUAAUCGUCGUACCGGUUCAAUUCCGGUCUCGGGCACCA